RNAcentral lists this long non-coding RNA (210 nucleotides) under Elaeis guineensis (African oil palm). RNAcentral describes it as "long non-coding RNA (EGUI_LNC004320)". The record is from RNAcentral. Lineage: Eukaryota; Viridiplantae; Streptophyta; Magnoliopsida; Arecales; Arecaceae.
GCAGAUGCACUAUGCAGUACUAUAGCAGAUGCACUGUGCAGUACUGUUGAGUACUGUAGCAUGUUACUGUAGCACGACGGUAAACAACCGAAAUACUACCGAGGCUGUGAAGUAAACAACUGAUCAGUCUUCUAAAGAUAAACAACCCUAAGAUUGGUAGAGAUUGUGAAGUAAACAAUAGAUCAAUCAGGGUAAACAACCCAAAUACCA